RNAcentral lists this ribosomal RNA (101 nucleotides) under Cyclobacteriaceae bacterium YHN15. Its description in RNAcentral is "partial 16S ribosomal RNA". It matches the Rfam family "Bacterial small subunit ribosomal RNA", at positions 1436 to 1533 of the family's 1533-position model. Lineage: Bacteria; Pseudomonadati; Bacteroidota; Cytophagia; Cytophagales; Cyclobacteriaceae. The record is from RNAcentral.
UAACCGCGAGGAGCCGUUAAGGGUAGAACCGGUAACUGGGGCUAAGUCGUAACAAGGUAGCCGUACCGGAAGGUGCGGCUGGAACACCUCCUUUCUGGAAG